UACGUAGGGGGCAAGCGUUAUCCGGAUUUACUGGGUGUAAAGGGAGCGUAGACGGCAUGGCAAGCCAGAUGUGAAAUACCGGGGCUCAACCCCGGGACUGCAUUUGGAACUGUUAAGCUGGAGUGCCGGAGAGGCAGGCGGAAUUCCUAGUGUAGCGGUGAAAUGCGUAGAUAUUAGGAGGAACACCAGUGGCGAAGGCGGCCUGCUGGACGAUAACUGACGUUGAGGCUCGAAAGCGUGGGGAGCAAACAGG
This 253-nucleotide ribosomal RNA is filed under the name uncultured bacterium. Its description in RNAcentral is "partial 16S ribosomal RNA". It matches the Rfam family "Bacterial small subunit ribosomal RNA", at positions 524 to 776 of the family's 1533-position model. The record is from RNAcentral.